GGGUAAGUCUUACACGACCAGCUCCCUCCAAACUCCCCCAGGACUUGACCGUAGCAAGGGUAGGAGGUCGUAGCGGUGCGAUGUAAUCAGCUUACCCUUU
This 100-nucleotide signal recognition particle RNA is filed under the name Bacteroidales bacterium. Its description in RNAcentral is "signal recognition particle sRNA small type". It matches the Rfam family "Bacteroidales small SRP". Rfam says of the family: The non-coding component of the signal recognition particle in Bacteroides Lineage: Bacteria; Pseudomonadati; Bacteroidota; Bacteroidia; Bacteroidales. The record is from RNAcentral.